UAACCACUCAAGCUCUCGCUUGGUAUUGGGGUUCGCGGUCUCGCGGCCCCUAAAAUCAGUGGCGGUGCCUGUCGGCUCUACGCGUAGUAAUACUCCUCGCGAUUGAGUCCGGUAGGUGACUUGCCAGCAACCCCUAAAUUUUUCA
RNAcentral lists this unclassified non-coding RNA (145 nucleotides) under uncultured Chaetosphaeriales. Its description in RNAcentral is "partial internal transcribed spacer 2". Lineage: Eukaryota; Fungi; Ascomycota; Sordariomycetes. The record is from RNAcentral.